Molecule: ribosomal RNA, 422 nt
Filed under: uncultured bacterium
Lineage: Bacteria
Description: bacterial SSU rRNA
Rfam family: Bacterial small subunit ribosomal RNA
Source: RNAcentral
UGAGGAAUAUUGGGCAAUGCCCGCAAGGGUGACCCAGCAACGCCGCGUGGAGGAUGAAUGUCGUAAGACUGUAAACUCCUGUUAGAGGGGAAGAAUAGUACCGGUUGGACCGGUAUAUGACUGUACCCUCAGAGAAAGCCCCGGCUAACUACGUGCCAGCAGCCGCGGUAAUACGUAGGGGGCAAGCGUUGUCCGGAUUUACUGGGUGUAAAGGGCGCGCAGGCGGGAUAAAAAGUCAGUGGUGAAAUCCUACAGCUUAACUGCAGAACUGCCUUUGAUACUUUUAGUCUUGAGUUCGGGAGAGAGAGACGGAAUUCCAGGUGUAGUGGUGAAAUACGUAGAUAUCUGGAAGAACACCAGUUGCGAAGGCGGUCUCUUGGUCCGACACUGACGCUGAGGCGCGAAAGCGUGGGGAGCAAACA